RNAcentral lists this ribosomal RNA (459 nucleotides) under uncultured bacterium. RNAcentral describes it as "partial 16S ribosomal RNA". It matches the Rfam family "Bacterial small subunit ribosomal RNA", at positions 338 to 795 of the family's 1533-position model. The record is from RNAcentral.
CCUACGGGUGGCAGCAGUGAGGAAUAUUGGUCAAUGGCCGAGAGGCUGAACCAGCCAAGUCGCGUGAGGGAAGACGGCCCUACGGGUUGUAAACUGCUUUUGUACGAGGGUAAACGCAGAUACGCGUAUCUGUCUGAAAGUAUCGUACGAAUAAGGAUCGGCUAACUCCGUGCCAGCAGCCGCGGUAAUACGGAGGAUUCAAGCGUUAUCCGGAUUUAUUGGGUUUAAAGGGUGCGCAGGCGGAAUGUCAAGUCAGCGGUAAAAUUUCGGGGCUCAACCCCGUCGUGCCGUUGAAACUGGCGUUCUUGAGUGAGCGAGAAGUAUGCGGAAUGCGUGGUGUAGCGGUGAAAUGCAUAGAUAUCACGCAGAACUCCGAUUGCGAAGGCAGCAUACCGGCGCUCAACUGACGCUCAUGCACGAAAGCGUGGGUAUCGAACAGGAUUAGAUACCCGAGUAGUC